UGCGUAGGCGGCUUGGUAAGUCACGUGUGAAAGGCCGGGGCUCAACCCCGGAUCUGCAUGUGAGACUGCCUGGCUCGAGCACGGUAGAGGCGGGCGGAAUUCCUGGUGUAGCGGUGGAAUGCGUAGAUAUCAAGAAGAACACCGGUGGCGAAGGCGGCUCGCUGGGCCGUUGCUGACGCUGAGGCACGAAAGCGUGGGGAGCAAACAGGAUUAGAUACCCUGGUAGUCCACGCCCUAAACGAUGGACACUAGGCGUCGGGGGGAGCGACCCUCCCGGUGCCGUCGCUAACGCAAUAAGUGUCCCGCCUGGGGAGUACGGCCGCAAGGCUGAA
RNAcentral lists this ribosomal RNA (332 nucleotides) under uncultured bacterium. RNAcentral describes it as "bacterial SSU rRNA". It matches the Rfam family "Bacterial small subunit ribosomal RNA", at positions 568 to 898 of the family's 1533-position model. The record is from RNAcentral.